GAUGAACGCUAGCGGCAGGCCUAACACAUGCAAGUCGAGGGGUAGAAGGAGCUUGCUCCUUUGAGACCGGCGCACGGGUGCGUAACGCGUAUGCAAUCUACCUUGUACAGGGGAAUAGCCCAGAGAAAUUUGGAUUAAUGCCCCAUAGUAUAUAACCUUCGCAUGUUGGUUAUAUUAAAGUUCCAACGGUACAAGAUGAGCAUGCGUCCCAUUAGUUAGUUGGUAAGGUAACGGCUUACCAAGACGAUGAUGGGUAGGGGUCCUGAGAGGGAGAUCCCCCACACUGGUACUGAGACACGGACCAGACUCCUACGGGAGGCAGCAGUGAGGAAUAUUGGUCAAUGGUCGCAAGACUGAUCCAGCCAUGCCGCGUGCAGGAAGACGGUCCUAUGGAUUGUAAACUGCUUUUAUACAGGAAGAAACCCUCCCACGUGUGGGAGCUUGACGGUACUGUAGGAAUAAGGAUCGGCUAACUCCGUG
This 480-nucleotide ribosomal RNA is filed under the name uncultured bacterium. Its description in RNAcentral is "partial 16S ribosomal RNA". It matches the Rfam family "Bacterial small subunit ribosomal RNA", at positions 28 to 507 of the family's 1533-position model. The record is from RNAcentral.